This 27-nucleotide non-coding RNA is filed under the name Macaca fascicularis (crab-eating macaque). The record is from RNAcentral. Lineage: Eukaryota; Metazoa; Chordata; Mammalia; Primates; Cercopithecidae. RNAcentral also lists the same sequence under 1 other name.
UGAAACCAGAACCAGAAGCUGAGGCGC